GACUAAAGCCAGGCCACUGCUUCCUCAACCAUUAAAAAAGACCAGACUCGGGUCCUCUGUGGACCUGCCCAGCCCUCUCAAGUUGCCAUCAGAGUAUCUGAAAGUUAAAAUGGGGUAAAGAGGAAGUCCUUCUGCAGUAGUCAGUAGCUCUGCUGGCAGACAUGUGGUCCCCUUGCUGGUCUGUACCUUGAAAAACAACAUGGAGAAAGUGUAGCCCAAGAGGCAUUUAUGUGCCCUCUGCUCUCCUGAGAUUCUGCCCUGAUAGCAGGAUAGGCCCCUGCACUAAAUUCCCUGGUGAAGUUCUGGACUGAAAAUAAGAAUGAAGAAAUUAGAGUUGGUAGCCAAGUGCAAUUGCACACACCUGUAAUCCCAGUUAUUCAAGAGGCUGAGACAGGGGAACCGUAAGUUCAAGGCCACUUGUGAGACCCUGUCUCAAAAUAAAAUUUAAAAGGGGGGGCUGGGGAUUUGACUCAGUAGUAGAGCCAAGGCUCUGCAUUUGACACCCCCACCCCCAGUACUGUGAAACAGAAGAAUGGAGAAAUUAGAGUGUCCUGCAUACAUGACUUUUGUCACUCCUCAGUGUUCAGCAUGAACAUGGAGACUGUACAUACUGAGAUGUGAAGUGAGAAAAAGUAACGCACCCCGAGACUUUGCCCAGACCUGUCACAUUUGUGAAAACCAGAUAAAUAGGUUGGUUAAAAACUAAAUACGACUAGGAAGGGGGAAAGAGUUGUGUUGUAAUGCUAACAUUAGUGUAUUUGUUCAUUGGUUGAUUUUUAACAAAUAGUGAGGUUUUUGUUUUUAUUUUUAAAGAAAAAGACAUGUUAUCUCUUAUGGAAAUUCUAAUAAAGCCCAAAAAAGAAAGUUAAAAAAAAAAAAUCCAGCAAAAUCCAACCAUCCAGAAAAUAGCAUUACUGGAAAUUCGAACUCUCUUCGUCCCUUUGCUGUGUACCUGUAUUUUCCAUGUUUUACUCCAGAGAUGUGCUCUUUGGUAGGGAGAAUGCUAGUUCCUCAGCAGGCGAAGAACCAGCCAGGACACAGGACACAGAGGGUAUUUCAGAUGGCUGGCUGCCAGGAGGGAGGAGGGCCAGAGGCCAGAGGCCAGGAGGCUCUCCCUGCCUGUGAAAAGCACAGAGAUUAAGACCUAUCUUCGCAGGAUUACAGCUCCUAAUUAGGAAAGGAGGCUUGCAGAAGGGGACCUUUCAGCAUUCCACAGCAGGCUUGUUUGCUUUUCCUGCCAUCUUUUAGAGUGCUGCAAGACUUUCCCCCUCUUUGUUUAAAAUAGAAAAUAUAAAGACAAGAAGAAGCAGGUAACUGAUGGGCAGAGACAUGCUGCUGCUUGAUGGGGCUCACGGAGGCCAUGGAGGGUGGCAGAGAUGCAGGGAGCUGAGAGGCCCCUGGGAGAUCUAGCCCAGACCCCAUGGUGUAUAAAAGGGGAGACUGAGGCCCAGAG
RNAcentral lists this long non-coding RNA (1453 nucleotides) under Marmota monax (woodchuck). Lineage: Eukaryota; Metazoa; Chordata; Mammalia; Rodentia; Sciuridae. The record is from RNAcentral.